Molecule: long non-coding RNA, 357 nt
Filed under: Macaca mulatta (Rhesus monkey)
Lineage: Eukaryota; Metazoa; Chordata; Mammalia; Primates; Cercopithecidae
Description: lncRNA (ENSMMUG00000057597.1)
Source: RNAcentral
CCAGACUGUUCCUAAAACUCUGUUAUAUUCCCACAGUGGAUGGCCAGAUUGCUCUUAAAAGUGUGUUACAGUCCUACAGCGGACGGCCAGAUUGUUCUUGGAGAUUGAAGAUGCAGGGAGGGACCUACUUCAAAUGAUGAAACAUGAAAACUUUGUCUCUGGCUUUCGUUUGGAAAGACGGGAGGAUUCAAUCCUGUUUCUCACCCGGUGUGAUGUGAUGCCGCGACCUGAACCCCCAGAUAGAAAGUUUUCUUGGGCUGAUGCUGGCAUUGUCUGCAGGGGCAAAGGAAUAUAUGGGCUGACCUCCUCCUGCUCCCUGGGAUUUUAGAUACCUUUGGAAAUGGAUUUAAAACAAUG